RNAcentral lists this non-coding RNA (22 nucleotides) under Rattus norvegicus (Norway rat). Lineage: Eukaryota; Metazoa; Chordata; Mammalia; Rodentia; Muridae. The record is from RNAcentral.
UCAGAGUACAAUGAUGACCAGC